GUAGGUGAACCUGCGGAAGGAUCAUUAGUGAAUUUAGCGCAGUUGCUUGCAACGCGUGACCCCACUCUAUACACUGUGCACUCAUUGGCGGAGAGAAAAAUUGGUACUUGUACCGAUUCAACUUUCUGCGGCUCACUUUAAACACCAGUCAAAGUAUGUAUAUAAAUAAAAUAAGAAAAACUUUCAACAACGGAUCUCUUGGCUCUC
RNAcentral lists this unclassified non-coding RNA (207 nucleotides) under rhizosphere metagenome. RNAcentral describes it as "partial ribosomal RNA internal transcribed spacer region". The record is from RNAcentral.